This 213-nucleotide unclassified non-coding RNA is filed under the name plant metagenome. RNAcentral describes it as "partial contains small subunit ribosomal RNA, internal transcribed spacer 1, and 5.8S ribosomal RNA". The record is from RNAcentral.
UUUCCGUAGGUGAACCUGCGGAAGGAUCAUUAAAAAUGAAGCCGGGAAACCGGUCCUUCUCACCCUUGAUUAUCUCAAAUUUUUGCUUUGGUGGGCCGCGCAAGCACCGGCUUCGGCUGGAUCGUGCCCGCCAGAGGACCACAACUCUGUAUUAUAUGUCGUCUGAGUACUAUAAAAUAGUUAAAACUUUCAACAACGGAUCUCUUGGUUCUG